RNAcentral lists this ribosomal RNA (944 nucleotides) under uncultured bacterium. Its description in RNAcentral is "bacterial SSU rRNA". It matches the Rfam family "Bacterial small subunit ribosomal RNA", at positions 1 to 923 of the family's 1533-position model. The record is from RNAcentral.
UCCUGAGAGUUUGAUCCUGGCUCAGAAUCAACGCUGGCGGCGUGCCUCAGACAUGCAAGUCGAACGCGAAAGUUUCCUUCGGGGAACAAGUAGAGUGGCGCACGGGUGAGUAACACGUAGGUAAUCUACCUUCGGAUGGGGAAUAACAACCGGAAACGGUUGCUAAUACCGCAUAAUGCAGCGGCACCUAAUGGUGACAGUUGUUAAAGCGGGGGAUCGCAAGACCUCGCGUCUGAAGAGGAGCCUGCGGCAGAUUAGCUAGUUGGUAAGGUAAUGGCUUACCAAGGCGAUGAUCUGUAGCCGGCCUGAGAGGGCGGUCGGCCACACUGACACUGACAUACGGGUCAGACUCCUACGGGAGGCAGCAGUCGGGAAUUUUGGGCAAUGGGCGAAAGCCUGACCCAGCAACGCCGCGUGAAGGAUGAAAUCCUUCGGGAUGUAAACUUCGCAAGAACGGGAAGAAUAAGUAAGAGUUAAUAUCUCUUAUGAUGACGGUACUGUUUGUAAGCUCCGGCUAACUCCGUGCCAGCAGCCGCGGUAAUACGGGGGGAGCAAGCGUUGUUCGGAUUUACUGGGCGUAAAGGGCGCGUAGGCGGCCACCGCAAGUCAGUUGUGAAAUCUCUGGGCUUAACCCAGAAAGGUCAACUGAUACUGCGGGGCUAGAGUGCAGAAGGGGCAACUGGAAUUCUCGGUGUAGCGGUGAAAUGCGUAGAUAUCGAGAGGAACACCUGCGGCGAAGGCGGGUUGCUGGGCUGACACUGACGCUGAGGCGCGAAAGCUAGGGGAGCGAACGGGAUUAGAUACCCCGGUAGUCCUAGCCUUAAACGAUGAAUGCUUGGUGUCUGGGGUUUUAUAGUCCCCGGGUGCCGUCGCUAACGCUUUAAGCAUUCCGCCUGGGGAGUACGGUCGCAAGACUGAAACUCAAAUGAAUUGACGGAAGGGCG